CAGCAGCCGCGGUAAUACGAAGGGUGCAAGCGUUAAUCGGAAUUACUGGGCGUAAAGCGUGCGUAGGCGGUUUGUUAAGUCUGUUGUGAAAUCCCCGGGCUCAACCUGGGAAUGGCAGUGGAUACUGGCUCGCUAGAGUGUGUCAGAGGAUGGUGGGAUUCCCGGUGUAGCGGUGAAAUGCGUAGAGAUCGGGAGGAACACCGAUGGCGAAGGCAGCCCCCUGGGCCAAUACUGACGCUCAUGCACGAAAGCGUGGGGAGCAAACAGGAUUAGAUACCCCCGUAGUCCCUGUCUCUUAUAC
RNAcentral lists this ribosomal RNA (301 nucleotides) under uncultured bacterium. RNAcentral's name for it is "partial 16S ribosomal RNA". It matches the Rfam family "Bacterial small subunit ribosomal RNA", at positions 509 to 807 of the family's 1533-position model. The record is from RNAcentral.